RNAcentral lists this unclassified non-coding RNA (183 nucleotides) under uncultured fungus. RNAcentral describes it as "sequence contains ITS1". The record is from RNAcentral. Lineage: Eukaryota; Fungi.
UUGAUUUAAUUCAAAGUGUUACUCAGACGCAAAGAUGCAGAGUUAUGUGGUCCACCGGGGGCCCCAACGCCGAAAAUCGGCAGGGUCGCCCCCGAGGCAACAGAGUCGGAAUGCAUGGGGUUGGAGGUCGGGCCGGUGGGCCCUCACUCAGUAAUGAUCCCUCCGCAGGUUCACCUACGGAGA